UACGUAGGGUGCAAGCGUUGCCCGGAAUUAUUGGGCGUAAAGAGCUUGUAGGCGGUUUGUCGCGUCUGCUGUGAAAUUUCGGGGCUCAACCCCGAACUUGCAGUGGGUACGGGCAGACUAGAGUGUGGUAGGGGAGACUGGAAUUCCUGGUGUAGCGGUGAAAUGCGCAGAUAUCAGGAGGAACACCGAUGGCGAAGGCAGGUCUCUGGGCCACUACUGACGCUGAGAAGCGAAAGCAUGGGGAGCGAACAGG
Molecule: ribosomal RNA, 253 nt
Filed under: uncultured bacterium
Lineage: Bacteria
Description: partial 16S ribosomal RNA
Rfam family: Bacterial small subunit ribosomal RNA
Source: RNAcentral